RNAcentral lists this ribosomal RNA (292 nucleotides) under uncultured eukaryote. RNAcentral's name for it is "partial 18S ribosomal RNA". It matches the Rfam family "Eukaryotic small subunit ribosomal RNA", at positions 6 to 295 of the family's 1831-position model. The record is from RNAcentral.
GGUUGAUCCUGCCAGUAGUGAUAUGCUUGUUUCAAAGAUUAAGCCAUGCAUGUGUAAGUAAAAAUGAACUUUUACAGUGAAACUGCGGAUGGCUCAUUAAAUCAGUUUUAAUUUAUUUGGUGGAUGUUGAGAAACUACAUGGAUACCCGUAGUAAUUCUAGAGCUAAUACAUGCACGAACGCCCGGCCUUCGGUCGGGUUGUAUUUAUUGGAUCCCAAAGCCAAACCGUUUCGGCGGUUCUGUUUGUUGAUUCACAAUAACUUGUCGGAUCGUUUCUUCGGAAGCGAUAUGC